UCUUUUUAUUUUAUUUAUUUAUUUUUUGACAAUUUCUCUUUGCUUUUAUGGGGGAGAGAAAGUUUUUCCUUGCUUAGGAGGAAAAUGACAGGUCUUUACUUGGUUGUUUGUGCUGAGACCACACUCUAAGAUAUAUUUGAAAAGUACCUCAGCUGAAGCAGCCUCUGCUAGUUCACAGAAGAACACAAAGAAGCUACCCGCACAAAGCUGGAUAAGUCAGUAAGAGAAGAUUCCAUGGGAUCUAAGAACAGAAAUCUGUGUUUUAGUGUCAUCUUAUUAUCCCUACCUUAUUUCUUGGCCUCUCUGUGCUCUUGACUUUAAUUCAGGGUAAGUAGCCCUUGAUCCCCUUCCCCUCUUCAGACACGGGCUUCCACAUUGGCUACCCGACGCCUGCUUCUGGAGACUCCUCUGUUGAGUACCUGCCUUUGCAGUGGUUGCCCCAAAGCUGUAGUGAGACAGUGACAUGGUUGCCUGAGACUGUGCUGUAAGCAGAACAUGUGCGGAUGAAGGUUUCCUUACUCCAGACUGGAGGAGAUGGGUCAACCAUAGUUCUUCAUAUAUGGCGGAUACUGUUUAUAUUGCAGACAGCAGUGACAGAAAAAUUAUGAUCGAUGCUUAUUUUAUUUCAGUGGAAGACACAAUUCCAUGAAUCAGAAGACAACAAAUGCCAAGAAAGGACCAGUUAAAAAGGUUCCAAGAUCAAACCAUCUUCCAAAACUCAACCCGUGACUCCAGAGCUGGGCAGACUUCUAUUUUUUCCAUCUUUUUCGUCAUUCAGUGUCUUCAGUUUAGGAAGCUAAUGUUCAAUACAUUCCUCAGGGGAGGAAAUAGAUGAGGGAGAGCGGCUUCUCUCACUCUUUCAAAAGUUGAUUCUUCUGCCUGCAUAAAAGUCAUGGGUCUCCAGCAACCCUAAAUAUCCAGUACAUGUGCUUAUAGUUCUUACAAUACCUUAGAAGGGACCCGAAGGUUGACAUCCUUCUGGCACUCUCAGUAGAGUGUUUCUGAUAUUCUCUGAUUGCACUUUUAUGUUGUAUUUGGUUUCUAAAUUGACCAUUAGUUAGAACUAUAUAUUGUUUUAUAUAUUAUAUAUAAUAUCUCCACCUUUUUGUUAUUUUAAAUUGCAUCAUGCUCAGUUCAACUUUCUAAAAUCAAGGUUUCAACAUAUUCCCAGAUCACAUGCAUAUGAAAGUUUCAGGAAAAUAUUAUCAAUAACUUCAGCCAUGCACUGCAUUGUUCUUGCCCCCAUCCCCCCCCCCCCCGCCAGUAACCUUGAGGAUUUAGGGUUAUCCUAUCACCUCAUGUUUAUUUCCUACAUCUAGAAAAAUGGCUGUGCUAAACUGUAUAAUUUAUAAAAUUUCUAGAAAUUCAGUCACAGGGGUCUGCCACUGUGUAUGUGGCAUUAAAGUCAUUUUGUGACAUUUACUAAUUCACAAAAAUGGUCUAGUUUUUGGACCAAACUUUGCAGGAGUUUGGAAUACUGGAGACUAGAAGGAAAUAGAGGGAGAAUAAGAAAUUGUUUUUAGGACCUAUGAACUUUAUUGAAUUUUAUUCAUGUUUAGGGUGUUUUGUGACUCGAAUGUUUUUUCUAAUUGUAGUAGAGAUCAGGAAGAUUCAUAUAACUUACCCAUUUAAAUGAGAGAAAUUAUUGGAAUUUAAAUUUCUUGUGCAUGUUAAGCAAGUGGUGUUUUAACCUAUAUCUGAUGAAAAAAGUCAUUUGUUUCCUUUUAUAUGUAAUGUGCCUUUUACACCUGAGGGGUUUAUGUGUAUGUAUGUAUGUGUGUAUGUAUGUAUGUAUGUAUGUAUGUAUGUAUUAUGCAUAAUAUGUACAUGUAUGUGUAGAUAAUAGAACCAUAAUGCUGCACUCAUGAACUUGCAGUAGCUAUGGUUGCCUGCACAAAACCUGCUCAAGAUCAAGCUAGCCAACAUUCCAGCUCCAGUGGCAGAGGGACACAUGGGCCUCACCCCUAGCUGAGAAGCUGGUGACAGCAAGGUCUGCUAGGAGAGGGAGAGUCCGUCCUUUUAAGGGUGUGGUCCCUGGUAGGUUCAGAAUGAUCCAGUAGAUGGCCCCACGGCUAUGUAUUUAUGGACAGCACUAACUGGCUUCAAUGGAAUAGAUGUGUGUGUGAAUAAACAUAUAUAUGGAUGUAUAUGUGUGUAUGUAUACACACGUAUUUAAAGAUAUGCUGUUGGGAAGGGGUUAUGGGAUCUUGGAAUUGGUGUGUGUAUGAAAUAAAUACAUUGUAUACAUGUGUGAAAUUAUCGAAGAAUAAAAUAUUUUAAUAAAAUGGAAUAUUGACAUGAUAGGGCUUUAAUGUACAUAUUUUCUCUUUCUUUAUUUCUCUUCCAAGUUUGUUUCUAAAGACUGAUUUUUCUCCUGGCUUUGGGUCUCCCAUUCUGCUUCAUAUAUCUAUACAGUUUUUAUUGGAUGUUGAGUAUCAAUAAUAUCAUAUUGCAGAUUGCAAUAUUCCUAUGAGCAUUUAAAUUGCUUACAGUUCUAUUUAACGCCUCAGACUUCCAUUGGAGUGAGUAAACCUGCCAAGAGUGAGGUUGUUAAGAUAUAGCUAGCCUGAGGCCCCAGUGAAGUUACCGUGAAUGACACAAAGGACACAUAGCUCUGCUUGGCCCAGACCUGGAUGCCUGGAGACCUGUAGGCACUCUGCUUCACCAUUUUGCAAUUUAUGCCUUGGUGUCCUGUAGGGGCUCGUGGUAUCCUGUGCAGACUUGGGGUUCUGUUUUUGGACAGGCCUUUGUGUUCACCAUCAGCCUCUUCCACCAGCUUCUGUCUCCUCUAAUGUGGGAAACGGACCUGUUACCAUGGUACUUCCUUCUCUGAAGUCUGUGAUGUGUAUAGGGGAGGAGCUAAGGAGGCAACUGGACUUGCUGCCUUCUCAAGGAUCCCCUCUUACACCUGCAAACAACUCUUUUAUCUAUUUUUAUCUACCCUUCUAUUUAGUCACAGUGAAUGGCUAAAUUUGGCUCUGCCACUCUUGCAAGGCCAGAACUGAAGAACACAUUCACUUGAUAUUAAAACUAUUUUUAAAGC
RNAcentral lists this long non-coding RNA (3043 nucleotides) under Mus musculus (house mouse). RNAcentral's name for it is "long non-coding RNA chr3:55170635-55173678". The record is from RNAcentral. Lineage: Eukaryota; Metazoa; Chordata; Mammalia; Rodentia; Muridae.